CAGGUUUUGCCUGGCAUUCUGCAGAAGCAUUGCUGUAUCUUACCAGACAGGAAUACAGGCCGUCUCCAAACUAUAGUCCUAUUGGACUGGUGCACCAAAUAUGGAUUUGGGGUGUGCGUAAUUCAGUCCAUAGCACCCACCAAACCACAGAAGCUGCCCCGAGCUGAUGUCCCGCUAUCGGUGCGGCUGCAGGACACUGUCCCAUUGCUGCAUGGAGCCUCUCGCUGUCUGAGCCUCACCUGAAGCCGGCCCACACCAUUUUCUUACUCUAUGCAUUGGAGCGAAAAUGUUUAAUUGACUACGAUGGGUGAUUCCUAAAGUUAUAUUUGACUCAGAAAAAAAUGCAUUAGUAAAACUCCCUGUUUGAAUGUUUCUAGUAUUCACAGCCCGGGUCACUGUCUUUCUAUAACGAUUGGUAUCUGAAAUAAGAACAUGGGCUGCAACUUACAGCCUUGCUCUUUCUACUAUAUAAACUUCCCUAAUCAAAUAUUUUUCAUUAAAAAAAUGUGUUUUUGGAAAUAAACAGUUACAACCUGG
Molecule: long non-coding RNA, 537 nt
Filed under: Homo sapiens (human)
Lineage: Eukaryota; Metazoa; Chordata; Mammalia; Primates; Hominidae
Description: HSALNT0131936
Source: RNAcentral